RNAcentral lists this ribosomal RNA (228 nucleotides) under uncultured bacterium. Its description in RNAcentral is "partial 16S ribosomal RNA". It matches the Rfam family "Bacterial small subunit ribosomal RNA", at positions 111 to 334 of the family's 1533-position model. The record is from RNAcentral.
UAACGCGUAGGUAACCUGCCUCGUAGCGGGGGAUAACUAUUGGAAACGAUAGCUAAUACCGCAUAACAAUGGGUGACUCAUGUCAUUUAUUUGAAAGGGGCAAAUGCUCCACUACAAGAUGGACCUGCGUUGUAUUAGCUAGUAGGUGAGGUAACGGCUCACCUAGGCGACGAUACAUAGCCGACCUGAGAGGGUGAUCGGCCACACUGGGACUGAGACACGGCCCAG